RNAcentral lists this ribosomal RNA (491 nucleotides) under uncultured bacterium. RNAcentral describes it as "partial 16S ribosomal RNA". It matches the Rfam family "Bacterial small subunit ribosomal RNA", at positions 29 to 506 of the family's 1533-position model. The record is from RNAcentral.
AGUGAACGCUGGCGGUAGGCCUAACACAUGCAAGUCGAACGGCAGCACAGUAAGAGCUUGCUCUUACGGGUGGCGAGUGGCGGGCGGGUGAGGAAUACAUCGGAAUCUACUUUUUCGUGGGGGAUAACGUAGGGAAACUUACGCUAAUACCGCAUACGACCUACGGGUGAAAGCAGGGGAUCUUCGGACCUUGCUCGAUUGAAUGAGCCGAUGUCGGAUUAGCUAGUUGGCGGGGUAAAGGCCCACCAAGGCGACGAUCCGUAGCUGGUCUGAGAGGAUGAUCAGCCACACUGGAACUGAGACACGGUCCAGACUCCUACGGGAGGCAGCAGUGGGGAAUAUUGGACAAUGGGCGCAAGCCUGAUCCAGCCAUACCGCGUGGGUGAAGAAGGCCUUCGGGUUGUAAAGCCCUUUUGUUGGGAAAGAAAAGCAGCAGGUUAAUACCCCGCUGUUCUGACGGGACCCAAAGAAUAAGCACCGGCUAACUUCGU